This is a long non-coding RNA of Trachemys scripta elegans, 1039 nucleotides long. RefSeq lists it as uncharacterized. Lineage: Eukaryota; Metazoa; Chordata; Testudines; Emydidae. The record is from RefSeq and is a predicted model, not a curated record. The transcript has 3 exons.
GGGUGUUGGGGUCAGCAUGUAGAACAUCAUAUGUGGUUAUAAUAUUCCUGCAAAGUAGGGGCAGCUGGAGAGUAGGGUAGGGGGAGUGGAAAACAUAAUGGAGCAUAUAGACCUAAGAAAAAUCUCGGGGGGGGAGAGGCAAACCAAGGUGUGGGGGGGAAUGCCCCCCUUAACCCAUAGCAAAUGAUGCCCCUGUGUUUCUCAGAAAACCAUUUAUACUGAGUGGAAGACUCCUAUCCCCAGAGCUGCGUGGUGGAGGUAUUGGAGAAUGAUGCAACUUCCAGAAAACUUCAAGUAGUCCCAGCUAAACUUUUCUUGAUGCACUUUUGUGAAAACAUUGCUCAAUAUCGUGCUCGGAGUGUACACAGAACUGAGAGGCUGAAUGUAGAAAAUGCACCGAAUAGUCCUACAAUCAAACACUUCCUCAGAUGUCAUAAUAAAUAGUAACAAUACUCUGUACUGGUAUCAGCUAAGACUCUCAGAAAGCAAAGUAUCCCUAUCCAAAGCACACUGUAAUGUCAGUGAUAUGAUUAACGAGCUCUGUGUAAGCUCCAAAGUUUUUCUCUGUCACCAACAUAAGUUGGUCCAAUAAAAUAUAUUACCUUACCCACCUUGUCUCUCUCAUAUCCUGGUAUCAACAUGGUUACAACAACAUUGCAUAUAAGAAGUGGAAGAGAUUUAGUCUCAGUUUGAAAACAGAUUUAAAAAUCCUACUCAUCUUUUAUAGGUAGAUACUGUGAUUGAGGAUAUAAUAUGUAGUACCUUAAAAUCAAGACGGAUUGAAUCAUUUUUUACCUCACUAACGAUAAUAGAUUCAGCUUCUUACCAACAAAAUCCUUCAGACACAGAUUCUCUUCAUCCUCAAAUUCCCCAACAUAUAUAAAUAGAUAUAAUAGGCUUUUCUGUGUAUUAUCAGGACACAUUGGCACAUGUAAGUAAUUUGCAUGUUGUGAUAGUGCUUUGCUGUGUCUGGUACUCAUGUCAAUCUGUUUUCUUCCGUCAGUGCUGGCAUUAAGGGAAUCUGUGUCCGAAGGAUUUU